UGGGGAAUUUUGGACAAUGGGGGCAACCCUGAUCCAGCCAUUCCGCGUGAGUGAAGAAGGCCUUCGGGUUGUAAAGCUCUUUUGUCCGGAACGAAACGGUUAGCGUGAAUAUCGCUGACUACUGACGGUACCGGAAGAAUAAGCACCGGCUAACUCUGUGCCAGCAGCCGCGGUAAUACGGAGGGGGUUAGCGUUGUUCGGAAUUACUGGGCGUAAAGCGCGCGUAGGCGGAUUCGAAAGUUAGGGGUGAAAUCCCAGGGCUCAACCCUGGAACUGCCUCUAAAACCUCCUAGUCUUGAGGUCGAGAGAGGUGAGUGGAAUUCCGAGUGUAGAGGUGAAAUUCGUAGAUAUUCGGAGGAACACCAGUGGCGAAGGCGGCUCACUGGCUCGAUACUGACGCUGAGGUGCGAAAGCGUGGGGAGCGAACAGGAUUAGAUACCC
Molecule: ribosomal RNA, 441 nt
Filed under: uncultured bacterium
Lineage: Bacteria
Description: bacterial SSU rRNA
Rfam family: Bacterial small subunit ribosomal RNA
Source: RNAcentral